CUAAGAUGCUUCUACAAACCAAAAAAAGUUACAUAUUAAAAGGUUGGUUAAAAUGCAUCUCUGAGCUGGCUAGAGGGGGCGUUCAACAGAAAUUUACUACAACUGGAUUAAAGCGUACACAAGGAAUAGAGAUGGUUCAGAUGAGUGAUGACAGAAAUGUGUACUGCAUCAAUACAAUACUGUAUUCUGGGAACGUCAACCUGUUGACCAGACAGAAACAGAACCUCAUCAGUGAUGGGAAGCAUGAAGAUUUGUGGAGGAUCAGAGGGGAUAGGAAGAGUUGUCAAGUAAGUGAGGGGAGAGAAGAUAAGCCCAAAGAAGAUCAGAUGGGUUGGAUAAAGAUUACUUCAG
This is a long non-coding RNA of Mauremys mutica (yellowpond turtle), 351 nucleotides long. RefSeq lists it as uncharacterized. The record is from RefSeq and is a predicted model, not a curated record. The transcript has 3 exons. NCBI's taxonomy places the organism in Eukaryota, Metazoa, Chordata, Testudines, Geoemydidae.